This 253-nucleotide ribosomal RNA is filed under the name uncultured bacterium. RNAcentral describes it as "partial 16S ribosomal RNA". It matches the Rfam family "Bacterial small subunit ribosomal RNA", at positions 524 to 776 of the family's 1533-position model. The record is from RNAcentral.
UACGUAGGGUGCAAGCGUUGUCCGGAAUUAUUGGGCGUAAAGAGCUCGUAGGCGGUUUGUCGCGUUGUUCGUGAAAACUCACAGCUCAACUGUGGGCGUGCGGGCGAUACGGGCAGACUGGAGUACUGCAGGGGAGACUGGAAUUCCCGGUGUAGCGGUGAAAUGCGCAGAUAUCGGGAGGAACACCAAUGGCGAAGGCAGCUUGCUGGGACGGUACUGACGCUGAGGCGCGAAGGCCAGGGGAGCAAACGGG